AGCGGAGUAGAGCAGUUGGAAGCUCGCUUGGCUCAUAACCAAGAGGUCAUAGGUUCGAAUCCUAUCUCCGCCA
Molecule: transfer RNA, 73 nt
Filed under: Saprospiraceae bacterium
Lineage: Bacteria; Pseudomonadati; Bacteroidota; Saprospiria; Saprospirales; Saprospiraceae
Description: tRNA-Met
Rfam family: tRNA
About the family: Transfer RNA (tRNA) molecules are approximately 80 nucleotides in length. Their secondary structure includes four short double-helical elements and three loops (D, anti-codon, and T loops). Further hydrogen bonds mediate the characteristic L-shaped molecular structure. tRNAs have two regions of fundamental functional importance: the anti-codon, which is responsible for specific mRNA codon recognition, and the 3' end, to which the tRNAs corresponding amino acid is attached (by aminoacyl-tRNA synthetases). tRNAs cope with the degeneracy of the genetic code in two manners: having more than one tRNA (with a specific anti-codon) for a particular amino acid; and 'wobble' base-pairing, i.e. permitting non-standard base-pairing at the 3rd anti-codon position.
Source: RNAcentral